AUCCAGUUGACCAGUCUCAAAUCGGACGAAACGCGCGUCCUGGAU
This 45-nucleotide non-coding RNA is filed under the name Schistosoma haematobium. The record is from RNAcentral. Lineage: Eukaryota; Metazoa; Platyhelminthes; Trematoda; Strigeidida; Schistosomatidae.